Girardinichthys multiradiatus is the source of this 410-nucleotide long non-coding RNA. RefSeq lists it as uncharacterized. The transcript has 3 exons. The record is from RefSeq and is a predicted model, not a curated record. Lineage: Eukaryota; Metazoa; Chordata; Actinopteri; Cyprinodontiformes; Goodeidae.
GCAUCUUACAGCAUUCGAUGGGCAAAGAGGCAACCUGCAGAGCCAAGACUCGUCCAGAAGGGGCCACAGGGGGCGCUGCAGGGAGGUUACCUUCUGAGUUCCCCCGUGGAUCGACCUCUCAGUGAAGCUUCCUGGAUUCGCUUCUCAAAACCCCUCGAGCCAUAGCCUCCUGGACUACUUCGGCAACCUUAGGCAUCUCCUAGAACAUCUGUGCCUCAACCUGUCUGCCAACUUUAACUCUAUUCCGAGAUCCAGCUCGCCACAUGGAUCAACACCCCCUGGACUCUGGUCACACCUUCCUGGCCUUUACCAUCAACCUCCGACCAUGAACUUCAUGCCUGUGUCGAAGGAACCCCCUGGACCCAGACAUUGCCCAUCGUCUUUGUAUUACAAUAAAUGUGUUAUUUGAU